This 253-nucleotide ribosomal RNA is filed under the name uncultured bacterium. RNAcentral describes it as "partial 16S ribosomal RNA". It matches the Rfam family "Bacterial small subunit ribosomal RNA", at positions 524 to 776 of the family's 1533-position model. The record is from RNAcentral.
UACGUAGGGGCCGAGCGUUGUCCGGAUUCAUUGGGCGUAAAGAGCGUGUAGGCGGCCGCUUAAGUCCUGCGUGAAAUCUCGGAGCUCAACUCCGAGCGGUCGUGGGAAACUGGGCGGCUAGAGUGCGGGAGAGGAGAGUGGAAUUCCUGGUGUAGCGGUGGAAUGCGCAGAUAUCAGGAAGAACACCCGUGGCGAAGGCGGCUCACUGGCCCGGUAUUGACGCUGAGGUGCGAAAGCGUGGGGAGCAAACAGG